UGGGGAAUUUUGCACAAUGGGGGAAACCCUGAUGCAGCGACGCCGCGUGAUUUAGAAAGCCUUCGGGUUGUAAAAAUCUUUUUUAUGGGAUGAAAAUGACAGUACCAUAAGAAUAAGGUCCGGCUAAAUACGUGCCAGCAGCCGCGGUAAUACGUAUGGACCGAGCGUUGUCCGGAAUCAUUGGGCGUAAAGGGUACGUAGGCGGCCCAGUAAGUUAGAAGUGAAAUAAUAUAGCUCAACUAUAUAAAGCUUUUAAAACUGCUAGGCUUGAGAGAUGGAAGGGAAAGUGGAAUUCCUAGUGUAGCGGUGAAAUGCGCAGAUAUUAGGAAGAAUACCGGUGGCGAAGGCGACUUUCUGGUCAUCAUCUGACGCUGAGGUACGAAAGCGUGGGUAGCAAACAGG
RNAcentral lists this ribosomal RNA (402 nucleotides) under Bacteroidota bacterium. Its description in RNAcentral is "Bacteroidetes bacterium partial 16S ribosomal RNA". It matches the Rfam family "Bacterial small subunit ribosomal RNA", at positions 355 to 776 of the family's 1533-position model. Lineage: Bacteria; Pseudomonadati; Bacteroidota. The record is from RNAcentral.